This 442-nucleotide ribosomal RNA is filed under the name uncultured Chlorochromatium sp. RNAcentral describes it as "bacterial SSU rRNA". It matches the Rfam family "Bacterial small subunit ribosomal RNA", at positions 355 to 788 of the family's 1533-position model. The record is from RNAcentral.
UGGGGAAUUUUGGACAAUGGGCGCAAGCCUGAUCCAGCAAUGCCGCGUGCAGGAAGAAGGCCUCGGUUGUAACUAGCUUUGUUACGGAACGAAACGGUACUGAGUUAAUACCUCGGGCGUAAUGACGGUACCGUAAGAAUAAGCACCGGCUAACUACGUGCCAGCAGCCGCGGUAAUACGUAGGGUGCAAGCGUUAAUCGGAAUUACUGGGCGUAAAGCGUGCGCAGGCGGUUAUGUAAGACAGAGGUGAAAUCCCCGGGCUCAACCUGGGAACUGCCUUUGUGACUGCAUAGCUAGAGUACGGUAGAGGGGGAUUGAAUUCCGCGUGUAGCAGUGAAAUGCGUAGAUAUGCGGAGGAACACCGAUGGCGAAGGCAAUCCCCUGGACCUGUACUGACGCUCAUGCACGAAAAGCGUGGGGAGCAAACAGGAUUAGAUACCCU